This 74-nucleotide transfer RNA is filed under the name Bacteroidetes bacterium OLB11. Its description in RNAcentral is "tRNA-Arg". It matches the Rfam family "tRNA". From Rfam's summary of the family: Transfer RNA (tRNA) molecules are approximately 80 nucleotides in length. Their secondary structure includes four short double-helical elements and three loops (D, anti-codon, and T loops). Lineage: Bacteria; Pseudomonadati; Bacteroidota. The record is from RNAcentral.
GGCUUCGUAGUUCAAUGGAUUAGAAUAUCAGAUUUCGGCUCUGAUGAUAGGGGUUCGAAUCCCUUCGAAGUCAC